AUUGAACGCUGGCGGCAUGCCUUACACAUGCAAGUCGAACGGCAGCACGGGUGCUUGCACCUGGUGGCGAGUGGCGAACGGGUGAGUAGUACAUCGGAACGUACCUUAUCGUGGGGGAUAACGCAGCGAAAGCUGUGCUAAUACCGCAUACGCCCUGAGGGGGAAAGCGGGGGAUCGAAAGACCUCGCGCGAUUAGAGCGGCCGAUGCCUGAUUAGCUUGUUGGUGGGGUAAAAGCCCACCAAGGCGACGAUCAGUAGCUGGUCUGAGAGGACGAUCAGCCACACUGGGACUGAGACACGGCCCAGACUCCUACGGGAGGAAGCAGUGGGGAAUUUUGGACAAUGGGGGCAACCCUGAUCCAGCAAUGCCGCGUGAGGGAAGAAGGCCUUCGGGUUGUAAAGCUCUUUUGUCUGGGAAGAAACACCGGCUCUAACACAGUCCGGGAAUGACGGUACCUGAAGAAUAAGCACCGGCUAACUACGUGCCAGCCGCCGCCGUAA
RNAcentral lists this ribosomal RNA (501 nucleotides) under uncultured bacterium. RNAcentral's name for it is "partial 16S ribosomal RNA". It matches the Rfam family "Bacterial small subunit ribosomal RNA", at positions 29 to 523 of the family's 1533-position model. The record is from RNAcentral.